GACGAACGCUGGCGGCGUGCUUAACACAUGCAAGUCGAACGGAAAGGUCCUGCUUUUGUGGGGUGCUCGAGUGGCGAACGGGUGAGUAACACGUGAGUAACCUGCCCCUGACUUUGGGAUAACUUCAGGAAACUGGGGCUAAUACCGGGUAGGAGCUCCUGCUGCAUGGUGGGGGUUGGAAAGUUUCGGCGGUUGGGGAUGGACUCGCGGCUUAUCAGCUUGUUGGUGGGGUAGUGGCUUACCAAGGCCUUGACGGGUAGCCGGCCUGAGAGGGUGACCGGCCACAUUGGGACUGAGAUACGGACCAGACUCCUACGGGAGGCAGCAGUGGGGAAUAUUGCACAAUGGGCGGACGCCUGAUGCAGCAACGCCGCGUGCGGGAUGACGGCCUUCGGGUUGUAAACCGCUUUCGCCUGUGACGAAGCGUGAGUGACGGUAAUGGGUAAAGAAGCACCGGCUAACUACGUG
RNAcentral lists this ribosomal RNA (468 nucleotides) under uncultured bacterium. RNAcentral's name for it is "partial 16S ribosomal RNA". It matches the Rfam family "Bacterial small subunit ribosomal RNA", at positions 28 to 507 of the family's 1533-position model. The record is from RNAcentral.